Molecule: long non-coding RNA, 1784 nt
Organism: Marmota monax (woodchuck)
Lineage: Eukaryota; Metazoa; Chordata; Mammalia; Rodentia; Sciuridae
Exons: 4
Source: RefSeq, a predicted model, not a curated record
UGGGACAGGAAGGGUGGGGACAGGAGGGAAAGAGAUCAGGGACCUGGCGGAGGCUGAGCUCUCUGACCCCGGGGGGUGCAUCCUGGUUCUUGCUGUCCCCAACCCUCUCCUCUCCUGGGUUUCCACCCCGAGCUGGGACUGUGCCCCAGCAGCAUGUCUCCUGGAUCCUGGACCAGUGUCCACGUCUUCCCAUGGAGGACACGUUGGCUGCAGAGCAGGCCGAGAAGGCCCAGAUGCACGUGCAGAGGAAUUCCUUAGGCAAACGACGUUCCCGGAGCCGUCUUCACCUGCAAAGUGAACAAUAAGCGCUUUGAGACUAACCGCCUCGGCUCACAGGAAGAGGCUCCACCCGCACAGGCGUGCACAGGUGCUGGCCCUGCAGCUGGGGGGCCCUGUGUGUCUCCCCUCCCCCACGCUGGUCUCAGUGGCUUCGCUCUAGGCCCAUCUCCCCCCACCCCAGUGGGGCUCUCCACCCUCACGGACCCCUGUCCCUGGCCCCUGAGGGCUGAGGCACCUGGGGCCCUGCCUGACCUCUGUCUUCCGCCCCCUAGGCUUGAGCAGCACUGCUUCCUGCCACUCUGUCCCCAGAACACCUCCCUGAAGUCCCUGUCCUCUCUUUCCCCUUAUCCUGGCCUGGUCUCUGUUGGUGCCCUCCCAACCCUGGCGUAGUCUUGGAGGUUUCCAGACCUCAGUGGGAGCCAUGGGGUGGUGGGUGGUGGUGUGGGAGGGACAGUGAUCAGAGGGAAGGGUGACUGUGAGGGUCUCGUGCUGUCAUGACGUCUCAGCCUACAGUGACCCAGAACCAGCUCUGCCCCCUCUCCGCCCCCAGCCCAGCUGUGGUCGCACAGGAGGGGCGUUGCGGGGGCGGGGGGCUCAGUUCCCUGCUGUCUGGAUGGUGCCCCUCUCACUGGCCACGGUGAGAUUGGAGCAGGCACAUGCAGGACUCAGAGGGGGGCCUGGUGUGUGGCGCGAGCCUGGACGCGGCUCUGGCUGGGCGGUGGCUCUUUUCACUGUCUAACCUCACAGAUGAGGCUCAAGUGUCUGUGGCCACGUCCCCAGCACCUCCCCAGCCCCCGAAUGGGCCACUCAAAGCGACUUGUGUGCAGACCUGGCUGGGCAGGCCGAGGGAGGGACAGGUGGAGGCCGCGUGGACACAGGAGCCCCCGCACACAGGGAAACCGCAGCUCAGAGAGGUUAAAUUACUUGUCCCAGGUCACACAGCAAAUAAGUAGGGGAGGUGGGAAGUGAACCCAGACCGUUUGCCUCCAGGAAAACUAUGGGGCUUAUGAUACGGAAUAGAUUGUUCAGCCUUUCUCCAGGGCAGUGUAAAGGGCCGACGAGUCUCUUUCUUUUCUGCAUUUCUUGCCCUGCCAUGGGCCCCUGGGCCCCAUCCUGAGCCUCCUCACUGGGCAGCUGCUUCCUAAGUGCUAUGAGACCUCAGGGAUGAAGACCUCAGGCUCCUCUCCAUUGCCUCCAGCCCAGCCCCAGGCUCUGUAGCCCCCGGUUCUCCUGUCCUCAUUGGCGCUGAGUGUCACCGCCCCCUGGGGCUGCAGCCAGAACCCCAGUCACAUCCUCCUCCUGCUCCUGCCCCCCCCCCUCCUGUGGACUCUCCUGCCAUGGGGGGGCAACCCCAGCUCCUCCUCUACUCUCACCCUCCACUCUUGCUCAGACACCUGUAACCUUCCAAAGUCUGUAAACUGUAAACGAAGCUGGUGACAACAUGCUCCUCGUGGGGAGUCUCAGGAUUAGUCCAAUCUUGAAAAGCUGUUGGGCUGGGCUGUUAU